RNA transcript from Magnolia sinica, 2822 nucleotides. It is a transcript of the gene named vesicle-associated protein 4-1-like, with no coding region annotated. The record is from RefSeq and is a predicted model, not a curated record. The transcript has 11 exons. Lineage: Eukaryota; Viridiplantae; Streptophyta; Magnoliopsida; Magnoliales; Magnoliaceae.
CGCUCUCAAUCCAGCUACGCUACAGCGACCACACGCAUCCGAACACCAGUGAAGAAGAAGAAGAAAAGAAGAAGAAGAGUCCGACGGUAAGGCGUCUGACCGAAUAAAAGCAAAGAUAGAGAGAGAGAGAAAAAAACACCCUUUUGCCUGCAUCUGAUCGAAUAAUAAGAAAACCCUCUAUCUAUAUUUAUAUAUCUGUUGAUGGACUGAAAAGGGGUGUCGAUUUUGAGGAAGAGAAGAGGAGAAAAGAUGGCUAUUGCGGAGGAGAAAUCCGCGUCUGAAGGAAUGGUUUGGAGACUGUGCCGGAUGCCGUUCUGGAACACGGGAAAUGCUUCUUCUUCUAAUUCUUCAUCGCAGCAUAAUCAGAAUCAGAUUGAGGGAUCGAAUCCGCAUCCGACGUCCGUUUCUUCGGUGGCGAGAUCGUUCCUCCCGACUCGGCGUCGAUUGCGUCUUGAUCCGUCCUCUAAGCUCUAUUUUCCAUAUGAACCAGGUAAACAGGUUAGAAGCGCGAUCAGGAUUAAGAAUGUUAGCAGAUCUUUUGUUGCAUUCAAGUUUCAAACAACUGCACCGAAGAGCUGUUUUAUGCGUCCUCCCGGAGGUAUACUUACUCCUGGAGAAAGUCUCAUUGCAACGGUGUUCAAAUUUGUGGAGCAUCCGGAGAACAAUGAGAAACAAUCAGAUCAAAAGAGCAAAGUUAAGUUCAAGAUCAUGAGUCUGAAGGUAAAAGGAAUGAUGGAAUACGUACCCGAGCUGUUUGAUGAGCAAAGAGAUCAGGUAGCAGUUGAGCAGAUUCUGCGUGUCGUUUUCUUAGAUGCUGAACGUCCUUGCCCUGCAAUGGAGAAGCUGAAAAGGCAGUUAGCUGAGGCUGAGGCUGCACUCGAGGCACGCAAGAAACCUCCUGAAGACAAUGGUCGACAAAUUGUUGGUGAAGGUCUCGUCAUAGACGAAUGGAAAGAACGAAGGGAGAGAUAUCUAGCCCGGCAGCAGGUUGAAGGGGUUGUUGAUUCCGUGUAAAACCGGUGGCUUGCGAUCGUUGUUUGUAGGAGAUUGGUUCAAAGGCUUGUCUACGAAACAAUAACACGUUUCGAUGCCGGAAGGGCGGCUUUGACUGAUUAUAUAGGGAAGAAGGGCAGAGCCGCCGCAUACUUAAGAUUGCGUCCGAAUGUCAGUGUCUAGAUGCCAACACGGCAGCAUGGCUGCGACGAAAUUCACUAGUCUGGUCCACCCAUUUCUUUUAAUGUCUUGCUAUUUACUAUUGGAAAAUCACAAAUUGGAUCAUUCGGUUCAAAUGGUUUGUAGCUUGAUUGAUUCACAACUCUGUUUCAUACAGAAUUUGUAUGAGAAUUUCAGUUGAGUAACAGUGUAGGGUUUCAUGCUUGUUAAUGGUGUACCCAUGUUUUAGAACCUGUACUGCACCGGUCGGUCGGUCGGUCUGGUUUGGUCUGUAGUUUUAAAUACUCGAAAACUCAACUUGAUUGGAAACCUAGCUGGGUUGGUUCGACUCGGAGACUCAAUUCGACUUGACUUAGUAACCAAUGAUUCAGCUACAAAUAGUGUAUAAGGGAAUUUUACAAAAAAAAAAAAAAAACUACCUGAUUAAUAUGGGAUUUAUAUGCUGUGAAAGCGACCUCAUUAAUCGAUAUAAUUAUCAUUCUGUUACCGUCCAUUACAUUUCUUUAAUGGCGCAUUGGGUGGGUGUCAAGCAAAUGGGUCGCGGUUGUUUGGGUGGGCCCCACUGUGAUGUUAAUGUAACAUCUACCCUGCCUGUCGAGAUUUCUAAAAUCAACCCCCAUUUCAUUUGUGAUUGUGGGGACCACAUUUUGGGAAACAGCAUACAGGGCAACAAUCACCCUCAAAACUAUUUCCCUUGUAUGGCCCACCAGAAUAAUGGAUGGCUCUAAUGUUUUUAGACAGCAUAUCUAAAUUUUGUGUGGCGAUUUAAUGGUUGGAGUGGAUUUUAUAUAUAAUCAUCAUGGUGGGUCAUGUACAACUCAAGGUGGACAUGUCUCUCAACUGUUUUCUUUGGUAGGCCCAGCACUGGUCCUAAAUUGGGAUUAUGCAUCUAAUGGUGGGAGUAGAUUUCACUUACACAUCAAGGUGGGCCCUGCCAAAAAUCAAGUAGGGUCUCUCCAACCAUACUGAGAGAUUCUUUUAAAAAAUAUGGAAUAGUAUGAGACACCACUCUUGAUUUUGACAGGUGAUGUUUAUGUAAAUCCACUCUGACCUUUAGCCCUAGAAACAAAAAAUUAGGCUGACUUGUGAUCUGGUGGGCCAUACCAAAGGAAACAGUUGUGAGAGAGACGUCCACCUUGGAUUUUAUAUAAUGAGCUCACUGAUUGAGAUAUCCCAACCAUCCAAUUUAUUGCUAUCAAAUGGAUGAUGGAAAAGUAAAAUCAUGGGUGGGGCCACAUUUGAAGGACAAAAUCAGAUGGUCCAUAUUAGCUUUGCAGUGUAAAUUUUGAGGUUUUGUCCUCCAUCCACAGCUACGGUAGUGAUUUGGAUGGCCAAGAUUGCCCUACCAUGUCAUGUGUGCAGUGGAAGAGUCCAAUCACAUCUUUUAAUGGUGCUGGAUAUUUGGACAAAAAGCACCAUUUUUUCAUGCAUCCACUAAGGCAAUGGUACAAAGUUGUGUAUUAGCAAGAGUAUGAAAAGGUCUAUUGCAGUGCAAUUGCCAAAGUGGGUGUUCUGUUGCCUGAAAAAUGUUGUAUGAUCAUAAGGUGGGCCACACGUUUAUGUUCAAAUGUAACUGUUCGUCGAUUCUUUCUAAGCAUUUAUUCCUUCUCGGAUUGUGCUGAAGCAUGCUAUACAUGCGAAUAUCCAUU